AGAGCGAACGCUGGCGGCGUGCUUAACACAUGCAAGUCGAACGCGCAGCAUUCUGUAGCAAUACAGGGUGUGGGCGCGUGGCGAACGGGUGCGUAACACGUGGAUAACCUUCCUUCAGGUGGGGAAUAACCCAGUGAAAAUUGGGCUAAUACCGCAUAACAAAACGAUGAGACAUCUUGUUGUUUUCAAAGGCGCAAGUCGCCAGAAGAGGGAUCCGCGGCCGAUUAGCUUGUUGGCGAGGUAAUGGCUCACCAAGGCAAUGAUCGGUAGCCGGACUGAGAGGUUGGCCGGCCACACUGGAACUGAGACACGGUCCAGACUCCUACGGGAGGCAGCAGUGGGGAAUCUUGCACAAUGGGCGAAAGCCUGAUGCAGCAACGCCGCGUGGGGGAUGAAGCUUCUCGGAGUGUAAACCCCUUUCGACCCGGAGAAAGCCCGCAAGGGUUUGACGGUACGGGUAUAAGAAGCCCGGCUAACUACGUGCCAGCAGCCGCGGUAA
RNAcentral lists this ribosomal RNA (499 nucleotides) under uncultured bacterium. RNAcentral describes it as "SSU rRNA". It matches the Rfam family "Bacterial small subunit ribosomal RNA", at positions 26 to 523 of the family's 1533-position model. The record is from RNAcentral.